UACGGGGGGGCAAGCGUUGUUCGGAAUUACUGGGCGUAAAGGCGUGUAGGUGGCCAACUAAGUCCGACGUGAAAUCCCCAGGCUUAACCUGGGAACUGCGUCGGAUACUGGAUGGCUUGAAUUCGGGAGAGGGAUGCAGAAUUCCAGGUGUAGCGGUGAAAUGCGCAGAUAUCAGGAGGAACACCGGUGGCGAAGGCGGGUCUCUGGCCGUAACUGACGCUGGAGGAGCGGAAAGCAUGGGGAGCGAACAGG
Molecule: ribosomal RNA, 252 nt
Filed under: uncultured bacterium
Lineage: Bacteria
Description: partial 16S ribosomal RNA
Rfam family: Bacterial small subunit ribosomal RNA
Source: RNAcentral